This 97-nucleotide signal recognition particle RNA is filed under the name Candidatus Galligastranaerophilus faecipullorum. RNAcentral's name for it is "signal recognition particle sRNA small type". It matches the Rfam family "Bacterial small signal recognition particle RNA". Rfam says of the family: The signal recognition particle (SRP) is a universally conserved ribonucleoprotein involved in the co-translational targeting of proteins to membranes. Archaeal SRP consists of a 7S RNA and homologues of the eukaryotic SRP19 and SRP54 proteins. Lineage: Bacteria; Bacillati; Candidatus Melainabacteria; Candidatus Gastranaerophilales; Candidatus Gastranaerophilaceae. The record is from RNAcentral.
UGUGCAGUCUGCUGCGGCGAUUAUACGGCGAACCGUGUCAGGAUGGAAACAUAGCAGCACUAAGCCGGGGUUAACGGGUGCGGAAUUCUGCAAGGGA